This 873-nucleotide long non-coding RNA is filed under the name Phascolarctos cinereus (koala). Its description in RNAcentral is "lncRNA (ENSPCIG00000002279.2)". The record is from RNAcentral. Lineage: Eukaryota; Metazoa; Chordata; Mammalia; Diprotodontia; Phascolarctidae.
GUGUUCAUGCUUUCCGGUACCUGCUAAACAAAAUUACUUGUUAUUUUGGAAGAUUUGAAUAUCAACAUGGCUUUCUAAGCCAAAGAGAGCUAAGAACGCCUUCAGAAACAAAAAACAAAGAGGUGAUACCAACUCCAUCCCGAAGUACCUCAGUUUUGGGCCCUGGUAAUUCCUCUACCGGUCCCACAAAGAACCCGUUGAGCUUUCUUCCAACACUAUCUUCAAAAGAUGAUGAUGAAACCUCUAACAGAUGGUUAGAUGAGGAUGGAGGUGAUGAGAUACCUUAUUGUGUAUCACCUGAUAUCAGUGACUUUGAUAUCAGUGAUUUUGACUCCUCUUCUGACUCAAGUACUCACCUACUGGAUAAAUCUUAAUUUCUAAAGAGAUUUUACAUUUCUGCCAUUUGUGUGUAGUAGUCUGUAUAGUCUACAUUUAAACAUGUUUAUAAGAUACAUUUAGUUUGGGUUCUUCUUUUGUAGACAGAGGGAGUUUUUCUGAUGCAAGUUGAUCAGCUCACUUCCUUUCUCUCUCAAAAUUAUGGAUUGCCUGUCUCCUCAACAGAUCCAGAUAAUGAAAAGUUAAAUUGUUAGGGUCAUUGAUAACUGAUAACCCAUCCAAAGAUGCCAUCAGGAGGAGGACAUUGGAAAGGCAACACUUCAUUUUUUUGCUCCCAAAGCCCCCUCGACACAUUUUAACAGUGCUUUGUAGGAGGGAUUCAGAGUUGGAUUCUAGGCAACACAGAACAUCCUCUUGAGAAGUCUUUGGAAAGUUCCUUCACAUCCCAAUCAGUUUCAGGCUAUAAUGUGUGUGUAUUCAUAUCUUUCUGUUGUAUUCAGCAUGUGGAGUUAAGUACAUUAAAUAAACAUAUAUAUA